RNAcentral lists this ribosomal RNA (392 nucleotides) under uncultured bacterium. RNAcentral describes it as "bacterial SSU rRNA". It matches the Rfam family "Bacterial small subunit ribosomal RNA", at positions 29 to 422 of the family's 1533-position model. The record is from RNAcentral.
AUUAAACGCUGGCGGCAUGCCUUACACAUGCAAGUCGAACGGCAGCACGGGGGCAACCCUGGUGGCGAGUGGCGAACGGGUGAGUAACGCAUCGGAACGUGCCCUGGAGUGGGGGGAUAACGUAGCGAAAGUUACGCUAAUACCGCAUAUUCUGUGAGCAGGAAAGCAGGGGAUCGCAAGACCUUGCGCUCUGGGAGCGGCCGAUGUCGGAUUAGCUAGUUGGUGGGGUAAAGGCCUACCAAGGCGACGAUCCGUAGCGGGUCUGAGAGGAUGAUCCGCCACACUGGGACUGAGACACGGCCCAGACUCCUACGGGAGGCAGCAGUGGGAAUUUUGGACAAUGGGCGCAAGCCUGAUCCAGCCAUGCCGCGUGAGUGAAGAAGGCCUUCGGG